RNAcentral lists this ribosomal RNA (460 nucleotides) under uncultured bacterium. Its description in RNAcentral is "partial 16S ribosomal RNA". It matches the Rfam family "Bacterial small subunit ribosomal RNA", at positions 338 to 795 of the family's 1533-position model. The record is from RNAcentral.
CCUACGGGAGGCAGCAGUGAGGAAUAUUGGUCAAUGGGCGGAAGCCUGAACCAGCCAAGUAGCGUGCAGGAUGACGGCCCUACGGGUUGUAAACUGCUUUUAUACGGGAAUAACGCGCCUUACGUGUAGGGCUUUGCAUGUACCGUAUGAAUAAGGACCGGCUAAUUCCGUGCCAGCAGCCGCGGUAAUACGGAAGGUCCGGGCGUUAUCCGGAUUUAUUGGGUUUAAAGGGAGCGUAGGCCGCAUGUCAAGCGUGCUGUGAAAUGUCCGGGCUCAACCCGGGCCUUGCAGCGCGAACUGGCGUGCUUGAGUGCGCGAGAAGUAUGCGGAAUGCGUGGUGUAGCGGUGAAAUGCAGAGAUAUCACGCAGAACUCCGAUUGCGAAGGCAGCAUACCGGCGCGCAACUGACGCUCAUGCACGAAAGCGUGGGUAUCGAACAGGAUUAGAUACCCGGGUAGUC